Molecule: long non-coding RNA, 451 nt
Filed under: Phascolarctos cinereus (koala)
Lineage: Eukaryota; Metazoa; Chordata; Mammalia; Diprotodontia; Phascolarctidae
Description: lncRNA (ENSPCIG00000032501.1)
Source: RNAcentral
GUUUUAUUUUUAUCUUGAACACCAUCCAAGGGAGUAGAAAGCACAGAGGUCAGAAACAAAGCUGGUUUUCCUUCUGCCUGUGGUCCUUGUGCCAAAGCUGCCUCCCUAACUGGGCUUACUCUGGUACUUCCUGCUUUUGAGAAGCCUUCAUGCAUCAGACUAUUUUGGGAAGACCCUGGGCUCAGCACCCCUGGCUGAGGCCUUGACCUUUCAGAAGAAUGGCAGGGCCGGAGGUCUGGGGCUUCUCUUCCACUAUUAGAGACAUGCAGCAGCAGGUAGGGGUGAUGGAGCUCCAGAUGGACUCAGCACUUGAGGCUUGCCCAUGUGGCAGAAUACCUAUGGCUUUAGGACAGGAUCUCAGGAGCCAAAGGACAUUCAAGUGUGUAGGUGCAACUUUUAUAUGCAAAAAAACUAGCAUUUCAUAAGAACUUUAGAAAAAGAUGGAUGUGUG